Molecule: ribosomal RNA, 672 nt
Filed under: uncultured Lachnospiraceae bacterium
Lineage: Bacteria; Bacillati; Bacillota; Clostridia; Lachnospirales; Lachnospiraceae
Description: bacterial SSU rRNA
Rfam family: Bacterial small subunit ribosomal RNA
Source: RNAcentral
CGGCGUGCUUAACACAUGCAAGUCGAACGAAGCACCUUGAUUUGAUUCUUCGGAUGAAGAUCCUGGUGACUGAGUGGCGGACGGGUGAGUAACGCGUGGGUAACCUGCCUCAUACAGGGGGAUAACAGUUAGAAAUGAUUGCUAAUACCGCAUAAGACCACAGCACCGCAUGGUACAGGGGUAAAAACUCCGGUGGUAUGAGAUGGACCCGCGUCUGAUUAGGUAGUUGGUGGGGUAACGGCCUACCAAGCCGACGAUCAGUAGCCGACCUGAGAGGGUGACCGGCCACAUUGGGACUGAGACACGGCCCAAACUCCUACGGGAGGCAGCAGUGGGGAAUAUUGCACAAUGGGGGAAACCCUGAUGCAGCGACGCCGCGUGAGCGAUGAAGUAUUUCGGUAUGUAAAGCUCUAUCAGUAGGGAAGAAAAUGACGGUACCUGACUAAGAAGCACCGGCUAAAUACGUGCCAGCAGCCGCGGUAAUACGUAUGGUGCAAGCGUUAUCCGGAUUUACUGGGUGUAAAGGGAGCGUAGACGGAGUGGCAAGUCUGAUGUGAAAACCCGGGGCUCAACCCCGGGACUGCAUUGGAAACUGUCAAUCUAGAGUACCGGAGAGGUAAGCGGAAUUCCUAGUGUAGCGGUGAAAUGCGUAGAUAUCAGGAGGAACACCAG